This 1414-nucleotide ribosomal RNA is filed under the name Lactiplantibacillus plantarum. RNAcentral describes it as "bacterial SSU rRNA". It matches the Rfam family "Bacterial small subunit ribosomal RNA". Lineage: Bacteria; Bacillati; Bacillota; Bacilli; Lactobacillales; Lactobacillaceae. The record is from RNAcentral.
GCAGUCGAACGAACUCUGGUAUUGAUUGGUGCUUGCAUCAUGAUUUACAUUUGAGUGAGUGGCGAACUGGUGAGUAACACGUGGGAAACCUGCCCAGAAGCGGGGGAUAACACCUGGAAACAGAUGCUAAUACCGCAUAACAACUUGGACCGCAUGGUCCGAGCUUGAAAGAUGGCUUCGGCUAUCACUUUUGGAUGGUCCCGCGGCGUAUUAGCUAGAUGGUGGGGUAACGGCUCACCAUGGCAAUGAUACGUAGCCGACCUGAGAGGGUAAUCGGCCACAUUGGGACUGAGACACGGCCCAAACUCCUACGGGAGGCAGCAGUAGGGAAUCUUCCACAAUGGACGAAAGUCUGAUGGAGCAACGCCGCGUGAGUGAAGAAGGGUUUCGGCUCGUAAAACUCUGUUGUUAAAGAAGAACAUAUCUGAGAGUAACUGUUCAGGUAUUGACGGUAUUUAACCAGAAAGCCACGGCUAACUACGUGCCAGCAGCCGCGGUAAUACGUAGGUGGCAAGCGUUGUCCGGAUUUAUUGGGCGUAAAGCGAGCGCAGGCGGUUUUUUAAGUCUGAUGUGAAAGCCUUCGGCUCAACCGAAGAAGUGCAUCGGAAACUGGGAAACUUGAGUGCAGAAGAGGACAGUGGAACUCCAUGUGUAGCGGUGAAAUGCGUAGAUAUAUGGAAGAACACCAGUGGCGAAGGCGGCUGUCUGGUCUGUAACUGACGCUGAGGCUCGAAAGUAUGGGUAGCAAACAGGAUUAGAUACCCUGGUAGUCCAUACCGUAACGAUGAAUGCUAAGUGUUGGAGGGUUUCCGCCCUUCAGUGCUGCAGCUAACGCAUUAAGCAUUCCGCCUGGGGAGUACGGCCGCAAGGCUGAACUCAAAGGAAUUGACGGGGGCCCGCACAAGCGGUGGAGCAUGUGGUUUAAUUCGAAGCUACGCGAAGAACCUUACCAGGUCUUGACAUACUAUGCAAAUCUAAGAGAUUAGACGUUCCCUUCGGGGACAUGGAUACAGGUGGUGCAUGGUUGUCGUCAGCUCGUGUCGUGAGAUGUUGGGUUAAGUCCCGCAACGAGCGCAACCCUUAUUAUCAGUUGCCAGCAUUAAGUUGGGCACUCUGGUGAGACUGCCGGUGACAAACCGGAGGAAGGUGGGGAUGACGUCAAAUCAUCAUGCCCCUUAUGACCUGGGCUACACACGUGCUACAAUGGAUGGUACAACGAGUUGCGAACUCGCGAGAGUAAGCUAAUCUCUUAAAGCCAUUCUCAGUUCGGAUUGUAGGCUGCAACUCGCCUACAUGAAGUCGGAAUCGCUAGUAAUCGCGGAUCAGCAUGCCGCGGUGAAUACGUUCCCGGGCCUUGUACACACCGCCCGUCACACCAUGAGAGUUUGUAACACCCAAAGUCGGUGGGGUAACC